UACCAGCACCCCGAGUGGUCGGGACGUUUAUUGGGCCUAAAGCAUCCGUAGCCGGUUCUACAAGUCUUCCGUUAAAUCCAACUGCUUAACAGGUGGGCGCGGAAGAUACUAUAGAGCUAGGAGGCGGGAGAGGCAAGCGGUACUCGAUGGGUAGGGGUAAAAUCCGUUGAUCCAUUGAAGACCACCAGUGGCGAAGGCGGCUUGCCAGAACGCGCUCGACGGUGAGGGAUGAAAGCUGGGGGAGCAAACCGG
RNAcentral lists this ribosomal RNA (252 nucleotides) under uncultured bacterium. Its description in RNAcentral is "partial 16S ribosomal RNA". It matches the Rfam family "Archaeal small subunit ribosomal RNA", at positions 474 to 727 of the family's 1478-position model. The record is from RNAcentral.